RNAcentral lists this ribosomal RNA (725 nucleotides) under uncultured bacterium. RNAcentral describes it as "bacterial SSU rRNA". It matches the Rfam family "Bacterial small subunit ribosomal RNA", at positions 771 to 1501 of the family's 1533-position model. The record is from RNAcentral.
AACAGGAUUAGAUACCCUGGUAGUCCACGCCCUAAACGAUGUCUACUAGUUGUCGGGUCUUAAUUGACUUGGUAACGCAGCUAACGCGUGAAGUAGACCGCCUGGGGAGUACGGUCGCAAGGUUAAAACUCAAAGGAAUUGACGGGGACCCGCACAAGCGGUGGAUGAUGUGGAUUAAUUCGAUGCAACGCGAAAAACCUUACCUACCCUUGACAUGUCAGGAACCCUGGAGAGAUCUGGGGGUGCUCGAAAGAGAGCCUGAACACAGGUGCUGCAUGGCUGUCGUCAGCUCGUGUCGUGAGAUGUUGGGUUAAGUCCCGCAACGAGCGCAACCCUUGUCAUUAGUUGCUACGAAAGGGCACUCUAAUGAGACUGCCGGUGACAAACCGGAGGAAGGUGGGGAUGACGUCAAGUCCUCAUGGCCCUUAUGGGUAGGGCUUCACACGUCAUACAAUGGUACAUACAGAGGGCCGCCAACCCGUGAGGGGGAGCUAAUCCCAGAAAGUGUAUCGUAGUCCGGAUCGCAGUCUGCAACUCGACUGCGUGAAGUUGGAAUCGCUAGUAAUCGCGGAUCAGCAUGUCGCGGUGAAUACGUUCCCGGGUCUUGUACACACCGCCCGUCACACCAUGGGAGCGGGUUUUACCAGAAGUAGGUAGCUUAACCGUAAGGGGGGCGCUUACCACGGUAGGAUUCGUGACUGGGGUGAAGUCGUAACAAGGUAACC